This 76-nucleotide transfer RNA is filed under the name Candidatus Portiera aleyrodidarum (primary endosymbiont of Bemisia tabaci). RNAcentral's name for it is "tRNA-Arg". It matches the Rfam family "tRNA". Rfam says of the family: Transfer RNA (tRNA) molecules are approximately 80 nucleotides in length. Their secondary structure includes four short double-helical elements and three loops (D, anti-codon, and T loops). The record is from RNAcentral. Lineage: Bacteria; Pseudomonadati; Pseudomonadota; Gammaproteobacteria; Johnevansiales (SeqCode); Johnevansiaceae (SeqCode).
UGCGUCCAUAGCUCAAUAGGAAAGAGCAACGGCCUUCUAAGUCGUAGGUUGCAGGUUCAACUCCUGCUGGACGUAU